GGGCUUGACCAUCCAAUCAACGUCGUCCAAAUUUUCUCAAGGUUCCGUUCAAAGUUCAAAAUAUACAGAGGAAGUGAAAUGAUGCUGCGUUUAAAACAACUGGGAAGUCGAAAAAAAAAAACACGAUGUUAAAUCAUGGCGUCAGUGAUCUUUAGGUCGGAAAGUCUGAGCUCUAGGGAGAGACCUGACUUCCCGAAUUGCAUGACCAUUCAAAUCGAUUUUUUCCCCAGUCAGAGCAAUUUUUUCCCUCCGAGUUCCCAGGAAAUCGGAGAAUUCCGAGUUUCCAGUUGAUUUGAACGCGACAUGAGCAACCAGCAGGAAAAAUGACUUAGUGUUAUUGAAUUUUGACAAAACAAAAAUUAAAUAUAUAGCUAUUUACUAAACAGGGUAAGAUCUAUUUUAUAUAACGUUAGCCUAAUACAAUUUGGAAACCCAGCUUUGUAGUAACGUUAACUAGCUAAUAAUGCUAACUUUAGCUAGCUGUUUUUUUUGUUUUGUUGUCUAGCUGACUUGCUACUGAAGCUAGCUAGUUAAGUGCUUUUGCAAAAAUUUUACAAUGUCGGAGAGACCGCAAUGUUUACAAAUAUCUGCUGUCGAAAACCAAAUGCAAGUCUAAAAUGAAGGGGAGAAUGUUGCUUUUUUAAAUUUUUUUACAGUGGACAAAUUGCCUGAUUGAUCUGAUGAGAAGUGUGUAAUACCUUCAUGUUUCAAGCAGACCACCGUAGUCCCUGUGCCCAAGAACACCAAGGAAGCCCGAUCUGCGUCCUCUUCACGCAAAUGACGGGGAUCUGUGCCUGUUCCCGGGAGAGCAGUAUACCCUUCUCGUUGGACUCGUUAAAGGAGAAAGCUUCUUCCAGUUCGUGGUAAUUCACUAAGGAUACAGUUACAAGGCCCACCAGCCCCUGCCAACAGUGGUCUAAACAGUCGCCUUGUGAUCUGUGAUCUACAAGGCUGCCAGUGCUGGACCGUCUGAUCCAAAUUUGGAAUUUUGGAUGGCCCCACCCCCAUCGAGAUCUAAGGAGAAUGAGAAAUGGAGCGACAUAAAGAUGUCUAUAAAGUCCAGGUUUGGUCACAGUGUUGUGGCUCCGCCCAGCAAGCCAAACUUCCAGCCCUUUGUGGAGGAGUCGGAUCAGCCUCCAACCAUGACACUGUAAGAUCAACCCAGCGGUGAAUUCGGUGUUGUCUGCACGAAAGCCCUGCAGGGAUGAGACUCCUCUGAACAGACUGCAACAACAGCAACAUCAGCAGCAGGAAGAGGGGAAAGCUCAGAAGCAGAGCAUGUAUUGCAAGGACCUGUUGCUCAUUGUCGCCUCUGAGUUCUGCUUUUAGGAACUGAGGGCAGAAAGCUACCACCAGAAGAAGGCCUUGGAGUCAGGGGCAGUGUCAAGGAAGAGCAAGGGGGCUCUGGUCUUCCAAACUGACACCUUUCCACCUGAACAUUGACAUGACAUUUCCAUGUUAGAUUGUUUUUUAUUUAGGUAGCAGACUGCCAGUAUCAUCUGUUAUGUCUUUGUUGUCUUUCGUCAUGUAUGUAUUUUACUGUUUGUGAUGUGUGUAUAUAAACUGCAGUUGGAACGGCAUAGGUCACACCAGUCAUAGCCAUAGAUCACUAUCUAGGCUCUGGGCCACACAGUAUCCCAGAGGGAAAAAUCAUCUAAUGUAAUUGGAUUGAAAAGAGUUGUGUGAGAAAAUGGUGCUAUGAUUUGAGAACUGAAAUACUGGUGGUUGUUGUUACUGUAUAUCCUUGGAUAUUCUGCAAUAAUUGGCUGUUGAGACUGUUCUGUAAUAUAUUUUCUUUCAUGGCAAUUCACUACAAAACUGUAUUCUACAUUUUACAUUCAUUCCACUAAUAUAUUAUGUUUGGAAAAGGGCUUUAGAUAACAUGCCAUGUUCCGUCUGGUUCCUCUCUCCAUUAUUUCUUUGCCUUCUUCACGUUACCUCUUAGGAAUUAAACUUUCAGUACCCCAUGUGGUGAAGGUAGUGUAUGAGAAUGACAGAGAGAAAUCCAGAGGAGGAGUCUAUGACAAGGCUCAAUUCACAUUAUAGAUGUCACUGCUGUAUAUAUUGGUAAAAAUGUCCCCCCAAGGCCAUGUGGUGAUAGUGUUAAAUAAAUGUGAAAUAAUG
Molecule: non-coding RNA, 2124 nt
Organism: Oncorhynchus mykiss (rainbow trout)
Lineage: Eukaryota; Metazoa; Chordata; Actinopteri; Salmoniformes; Salmonidae
Source: RefSeq, a predicted model, not a curated record